Molecule: long non-coding RNA, 629 nt
Filed under: Felis catus (domestic cat)
Lineage: Eukaryota; Metazoa; Chordata; Mammalia; Carnivora; Felidae
Description: lncRNA (ENSFCAG00000050878.1)
Source: RNAcentral
AAAAAAAAAACAGAUCAACCUUGAGGGAUCCCAUUCUGGGCAAUUCUCCCAAGUCAAGCAUUCUUAAGAAUUCUUAUUUUAAGAAUUAGAUUCAGCCAUAUUAUAUUCCAUAUUAUUAACUUUUCUUUCUAUCAUUUGUUUAUUAGUGCAUAGCAUUCAACUAUAUGCCAAACACAAGGCUAACAGAAGUAAAAGUAUAACAAGUACAGUCAGCAAAAAAGACCUCAAUGGUAAACUGUUGAGAAGCUGGGGUGAUGAGUUUCCCACUCACGAUUCAAAUGUCCCAGAUGAACCUGUGAGAAAAGGAGCAGAGGAGAGAAUUCAAAACAAAGCUUGCUCCUGAAAUCUUGGGAUUCUGACUUGUGAAUUGACAGGCGAUCCCCAUGGAGCUACUACUUGUGUAGGAAACAAAGUCAAAGAUCUGUUAAGCAAGUUAAAGAGCCUUUUUCAAAGUCCUGCCCAGAUGGAAGUUCCUGUUUACAUUUUCAUAGAAGUGGAUUGCCAUGAAAACAGGUUUGGGGAAAAUUAAUGGUGUGGUUUUCACAUAGUAAAUUGGCUACUGGCAUGUUAAUUGAAAAGAAUAUAAACUGUUCAUUGGCUAACUGAAUAAAAAACUGCUUAAACUAUCA